GGAUGCGAUCAUACCAGCACUAAAGUACCGGAUCCCAUCAGAACUCUGAAGUUAAGCGUGCUUGGGCGAGAGUAGUACUAGGAUGGGUGACCUCCAGGAUGGGUGACCUCCUCGGAAGUCCUCGUGUUGCAUUCC
Molecule: ribosomal RNA, 135 nt
Filed under: Hordeum vulgare subsp. vulgare (domesticated barley)
Lineage: Eukaryota; Viridiplantae; Streptophyta; Magnoliopsida; Poales; Poaceae
Source: RNAcentral